This 87-nucleotide transfer RNA is filed under the name Patescibacteria group bacterium. RNAcentral describes it as "tRNA-Leu". It matches the Rfam family "tRNA". Rfam says of the family: Transfer RNA (tRNA) molecules are approximately 80 nucleotides in length. The record is from RNAcentral.
GCCCAGAUGGCGGAAUUGGUAUACGCGCAGGUCUCAGAAGCCUGUGCCCUCACGGGCUUGAGAGUUCGAGUCUCUCUCUGGGCACCA